GCACCGCUGGGGAGUCCCACGAUAGGACGAAACGGCCGUCCAGUGC
This is a non-coding RNA of Schistosoma mattheei, 46 nucleotides long. The record is from Rfam. NCBI's taxonomy places the organism in Eukaryota, Metazoa, Platyhelminthes, Trematoda, Strigeidida, Schistosomatidae.